RNAcentral lists this ribosomal RNA (254 nucleotides) under uncultured bacterium. RNAcentral describes it as "partial 16S ribosomal RNA". It matches the Rfam family "Bacterial small subunit ribosomal RNA", at positions 524 to 776 of the family's 1533-position model. The record is from RNAcentral.
UACGUAGGGUCCGAGCGUUGUCCGGAGUUACUGGGCGUAAAGCGCGCGCAGGUGGUCCAUUAAGCCCGGCGUGAAAGCCCCCGGCUCAACCGGGGAGGGUCGCCUGGGGACUGGUGGACUUGAGGGCGGCAGGGGCUGGUGGAAUCCCCGGUGUAGUGGUGAAAUGCGUAGAGAUCGGGGGGAACACCCGUGGCGAAGGCGGCCAGCUGGGCCGACCCUGACACUGAGGCGCGAAGGCGUGGGGAGCGAACGGG